CAGCCGCCACGGGAAUACGAAGGGGGCUAGCGUUGUUUGGAAUUACUGGGCGUAAAGCGCACGUAGGCGGAUAUUUAAGUCAGGGGUGAAAUCCCAGAGCUCAACUCUGGAACUGCCUUUGAUACUGGGUAUCUUGAGUAUGGAAGAGGUAAGUGGAAUUCCGAGUGUAGAGGUGAAAUUCGUAGAUAUUCGGAGGAACACCAGUGGCGAAGGCGGCUUACUGGUCCAUUACUGACGCUGAGGUGCGAAAGCGUGGGGAGCAAACAGGAUUAGAUACCCGCGUAGUCCCUGUCUCUUAUAA
RNAcentral lists this ribosomal RNA (301 nucleotides) under uncultured bacterium. Its description in RNAcentral is "partial 16S ribosomal RNA". It matches the Rfam family "Bacterial small subunit ribosomal RNA", at positions 509 to 809 of the family's 1533-position model. The record is from RNAcentral.